UACGGAGGGUGCAAGCGUUGUCCGGAUUUAUUGGGUUUAAAGGGUGCGUAGGCGGUUCUUUAAGUCCGGGGUGAAAGCCCACUGCUCAACAGUGGAACUGCCCUGGAAACUGGAGAACUUGAGUACAGACGAGGGCGGCGGAAUGGACUGAGUAGCGGUGAAAUGCAUAGAUACAGUCCAGAACCCCGAUUGCGAAGGCAGCUGACUAGGCUGUUACUGACGCUGAGGCACGAAAGCGUGGGGAGCGAACAGG
RNAcentral lists this ribosomal RNA (253 nucleotides) under uncultured bacterium. RNAcentral's name for it is "partial 16S ribosomal RNA". It matches the Rfam family "Bacterial small subunit ribosomal RNA", at positions 524 to 776 of the family's 1533-position model. The record is from RNAcentral.